ACGGGAGGCAGCAGUGGGGAAUAUUGCACAGUGGGGGAAACCCUGAUGCAGCAACGCCGCGUGAGUGAAGAAGUAUUUCGGUAUGUAAAGCUCUAUCAGCAGGGAAGAUAAUGACGGUACCUGACUAAGAAGCUCCGGCUAAAUACGUGCCAGCAGCCGCGGUAAUACGUAUGGAGCAAGCGUUAUCCGGAUGUACUGGGUGUAAAGGGUGCGUAGGCGGCAUGGUAAGUCAGAUGUGAAAGACAGGGGCUCAACUCCGGAGCUGCAUUUGAAACUGCCAGGCUUGAGUACAGGAGAGGCAGGCGGAAUUCCUAGUGUAGCGGUGAAAUGCGUAGAUAUUAGGAGGAACACCGGAGGCGAAGGCGGCUUACUGGACUGUAACUGACGUUGAGGCUCGAAAGCGUGGGGAGCAAACAGGAUUAGAUACCCUGGUA
This 434-nucleotide ribosomal RNA is filed under the name uncultured bacterium. Its description in RNAcentral is "partial 16S ribosomal RNA". It matches the Rfam family "Bacterial small subunit ribosomal RNA", at positions 341 to 792 of the family's 1533-position model. The record is from RNAcentral.